UACAGAGGGGGCAAGCGUUGUUCGGAAUUACUGGGCGUAAAGGGCGCGUAGGCGGCCCGCUAAGUCGAACGUGAAAUCCCCAGGCUCAACCUGGGAACUGCGUCCGAUACUGGCAGGCUUGAAUCCGGGAGAGGGAUGUGGAAUUCCAGGUGUAGCGGUGAAAUGCGUAGAUAUCCGGAGGAACACCAGUGGCGAAAGCGGCCACCUGGACUGCACCUGACGCUGACACGCGAAAGCUAGGGGAGCGAACGGG
This 253-nucleotide ribosomal RNA is filed under the name uncultured bacterium. RNAcentral's name for it is "partial 16S ribosomal RNA". It matches the Rfam family "Bacterial small subunit ribosomal RNA", at positions 524 to 776 of the family's 1533-position model. The record is from RNAcentral.